Molecule: non-coding RNA, 134 nt
Filed under: Rothia nasimurium
Lineage: Bacteria; Bacillati; Actinomycetota; Actinomycetes; Micrococcales; Micrococcaceae
Description: FMN sequence
Rfam family: FMN riboswitch aptamer (RFN element)
About the family: The RFN element is a highly conserved domain that is found frequently in the 5'-untranslated regions of prokaryotic mRNAs that encode for flavin mononucleotide (FMN) biosynthesis and transport proteins.
Source: Rfam by way of RNAcentral
AUCGUGCUCCGGGACCCGGUGAAAAUCCGAACCUGCGGUGACAGCCCGCUAAUUGACGGCACAUCCACGUGCCCGAUACCUGCAAGGUGAAAUUCCUUGGCAGACAGUACAGUCUGGAUGGAAGGUAGCACGAG